RNAcentral lists this ribosomal RNA (357 nucleotides) under uncultured bacterium. RNAcentral describes it as "partial 16S ribosomal RNA". It matches the Rfam family "Bacterial small subunit ribosomal RNA", at positions 338 to 692 of the family's 1533-position model. The record is from RNAcentral.
CCUACGGGUGGCAGCAGUGAGGAAUAUUGGUCAAUGGACGAGAGUCUGAACCAGCCAAGUAGCGUGAAGGAUGACUGCCCUAUGGGUUGUAAACUUCUUUUAUCUGGGAAUAAAACAUGGUAUGCAUACCCUCUUGUAUGUACCAUAUGAAUAAGCAUCGGCUAACUCCGUGCCAGCAGCCGCGGUAAUACGGAGGAUCCGAGCGUUAUCCGGAUUUAUUGGGUUUAAAGGGUGCGUAGGUGGUUUGUUAAGUCAGUUGUGAAAGUUGGCGGCUCAACCGUAAAAUUGCAGUUGAAACUGGGGGGCUUGAGGAUGUUGGGGGCAGGCGGAAUGCGUGGGGUAGCGGUGAAAUGCUUA